AAGAGCACUCCCUGCUUCUAGUGAGCAAAGGCAGCCCCCCUUGAGCUUCUAUAGCCCUUCUUAUUUAUUGGGUAACAAGAGCAAGGAGGAGGAGAGUUCUGCAAGGAGAUUGGAAGAAAAUGUGAGGACUGAGCCCAUAAGAAUAUUUUUCUUUCUGUUUUUAUCAGGGGGCAUUUUGACUAUCAGCAUUUUUAUUUACUUGCUCUGGCUUUGGCAUGAUUUGCUAUUGGAGAGAUAUAACAGUAUUGUUUUUCUUCUGAUGGAGACAAAAUAUUCAUUUAUAAUCCUGCCGCCCUGCCGCACCCCGCCCCCUUCUGCCACCACCAAGUGAUCAUCCAGCUGACACUUGAGGAACUUUGAUGAUGAGGAGUUCAUCAGUCAUUGGUCAGACUAUUAAAUCUUUCCACAGCUUA
This 413-nucleotide long non-coding RNA is filed under the name Homo sapiens (human). RNAcentral describes it as "HSALNT0373611". The record is from RNAcentral. Lineage: Eukaryota; Metazoa; Chordata; Mammalia; Primates; Hominidae.